RNAcentral lists this ribosomal RNA (274 nucleotides) under uncultured bacterium. RNAcentral's name for it is "partial 16S ribosomal RNA". It matches the Rfam family "Bacterial small subunit ribosomal RNA", at positions 523 to 796 of the family's 1533-position model. The record is from RNAcentral.
AUACGGAGGGUGCAAGCGUUGUUCGGAAUCACUGGGCGUAAAGGGCGCGCAGGCGGUUUGGUAAGUCAGAUGUGAAAGCCCACGGCUCAACCGUGGAAGUGCAUUUGAAACUGCCAGACUUGAGUACCAGAGGGGAAAGUGGGAUUCCCGGUGUAGAGGUGAAAUUCGUAGAUAUCGGGAGGAAUACCGGUGGCGAAGGCGACUUUCUGGCUGGAUACUGACGCUGAGGUGCGAAAGCGUGGGGAGCAAACAGGAUUAGAAACCCCAGUAGUCC